GCCACGGUGGCACAAUGGCUAAGUGCUUGGCUGCUAACUGAAAGGCUGGCAGUUCAAACCUACCCAGUGGCU
Molecule: transfer RNA, 72 nt
Organism: Loxodonta africana (African savanna elephant)
Lineage: Eukaryota; Metazoa; Chordata; Mammalia; Proboscidea; Elephantidae
Rfam family: tRNA
About the family: Transfer RNA (tRNA) molecules are approximately 80 nucleotides in length.
Source: Rfam